CCCCCCUGACAAUGGGCAAAGAAACACCUUAUUGGUGGUGGUAUUCUUAUAUCAGUCAGGGGUAGAGUAGAUAGCAGUCCUUUGUUCAUCCUAGCUUGAUGCCUGCUUGGUGGCCAGAGCUGUUUCAUGCCUAGGACACAUAA
Molecule: small nucleolar RNA, 143 nt
Organism: Chinchilla lanigera (long-tailed chinchilla)
Lineage: Eukaryota; Metazoa; Chordata; Mammalia; Rodentia; Chinchillidae
Source: Ensembl